AGUGAACGCUGGCGGCAGGCCUAAUACAUGCAAGUCGAACGGCAGCACAGUGGAGCUUGCUCCAUGGGUGGCGAGUGGCGGACGGGUGAGGAAUACGUGGGAAUCUGCCCAGUCGUGGGGGAUAACGUAGGGAAACUUACGCUAAUACCGCAUGCGCCCUUCGGGGGAAAGCCGGGGACCUUCGGGCCUGGCGCGAUUGGAUGAGCCCACGUCGGAUUAGCUAGUUGGCGGGGUAACGGCCCACCAAGGCGACGAUCCGUAGCUGGUCUGAGAGGAUGAUCAGCCACACUGGAACUGAGACACGGUCCAGACUCCUACGGGAGGCAGCAGUAGGGGAAUAUUGGACAAUGGGCGCAAGCCUGAUCCAGCCAUGCCGCGUGAGUGAAGAAGGCCCUCGGGUUGUAAAGCUCUUUUGUCCGGAAAGAAAGCAUUCGGUUAAUACCCGGGUGUUCUGACGGUACCGGAAGAAUAAGCACCGGCUAACUUCGUGCCAGCAGCCGCGGUAA
This 506-nucleotide ribosomal RNA is filed under the name uncultured bacterium. RNAcentral describes it as "bacterial SSU rRNA". It matches the Rfam family "Bacterial small subunit ribosomal RNA", at positions 29 to 523 of the family's 1533-position model. The record is from RNAcentral.